RNAcentral lists this ribosomal RNA (554 nucleotides) under Filobasidium stepposum. RNAcentral describes it as "partial large subunit ribosomal RNA". It matches the Rfam family "Eukaryotic large subunit ribosomal RNA", at positions 117 to 657 of the family's 3401-position model. The record is from RNAcentral. Lineage: Eukaryota; Fungi; Basidiomycota; Tremellomycetes; Filobasidiales; Filobasidiaceae.
GAAAUCUGGUGGCCUCAGGUCAUCCGAGUUGUAAUCUAUAGAAGUGUUUUCCGUGCUGGCUCAUGUACAAGUCCCUUGGAACAGGGCGUCAUAGAGGGUGAGAAUCCCGUCCUUGACAUGAACUACCAGUGCUCUGUGAUACAUUUUCAACGAGUCGAGUUGUUUGGGAAUGCAGCUCAAAAUGGGUGGUAAAUUCCAUCUAAAGCUAAAUAUUGGCGAGAGACCGAUAGCGAACAAGUACCGUGAGGGAAAGAUGAAAAGCACUUUGGAAAGAGAGUUAAACAGUAUGUGAAAUUGUUAAAAGGGAAACGAUUGAAGUCAGUCGUGCUCUUUGGAUUCAGCCGGUUCUGCCGGUGUACUUCCUUUGAGUGGGGUCAACAUCAGUUUUGAUCGCUGGAUAAAGGCUGGAGGAACGUAGCACCCCCGGGUGAACUUAUAGCCUCCUGUCACAUACAGUGGUUGGGACUGAGGAACGCAGCACGCCUUUAUGGCCAGGAUCCGUCCAUGUACGUGCUUAGGAUGUUGACAUAAUGGCUUUAAACGACCCGUCUUGA